RNAcentral lists this ribosomal RNA (303 nucleotides) under uncultured bacterium. Its description in RNAcentral is "partial 16S ribosomal RNA". It matches the Rfam family "Bacterial small subunit ribosomal RNA", at positions 507 to 807 of the family's 1533-position model. The record is from RNAcentral.
AGCAGCCGCCGCGGUAAUACGAAGGGGGCUAGCGUUGCUCGGAAUUACUGGGCGUAAAGGGAGCGUAGGCGGACAUUUAAGUCAGGGGUGAAAUCCCAGAGCUCAACUCUGGAACUGCCUUUGAUACUGGGUGUCUUGAGUGUGAUAGAGGUAUGUGGAACUCCGAGUGUAGAGGUGAAAUUCGUAGAUAUUCGGAAGAACACCAGUGGCGAAGGCGACAUACUGGAUCAUUACUGACGCUGAGGCUCGAAAGCGUGGGGAGCAAACAGGAUUAGAUACCCCUGUAGUCCCUGUCUCUUAUAC